Molecule: long non-coding RNA, 689 nt
Filed under: Trifolium pratense (red clover)
Lineage: Eukaryota; Viridiplantae; Streptophyta; Magnoliopsida; Fabales; Fabaceae
Description: long non-coding RNA (TPRA_LNC000022)
Source: RNAcentral
AAAUGAAAAUGUAUGAAUGAGUCUGAAUUGGGAUGUAAUCCAGCAGCUGUGAGCUGGGAUUGGAAAUGAUAAUCAGAAACAAACAAGUCUGCUUUCUAUCUGUCAUUGUAGUAGUGGUCAUGCAGUGAACACACUUCCAAAUUUCAUGCUUCUUCUUCUGCUGCUGCACAGUACUGCAGAUAUUUAAUGGCUUCUGUUUUGAUGCUAAAUGAGAGACUAACUUAUACUAUAACUGAUACUAAGUUCAAAGGGAGUAGUACCUUUAUGCUUCAUUCAGAUUUCAAACAGUUGAUUCAUCUUCUGUUUCCAACCAGACCAAUUUCUUAGUACGAUUUUGUUACAGAAACCACAAUAGUUUCAUUCAUACUGUCACACCCUUUCAUCUUAUUCACCUAAUUAAGGUUUUACUCAGAACAGUAAGUAAUAUUAAUACUCCUAUUUGUUUUUUCAGAUAUCUCUUCUUCUUCUUCUUCUUCUUCUCUGUCUCAUUAAUUGCAAUGUUAUUUUCUCUUUUAUUUUUGGUCUAGGAGAAAAUUACAUUCAUAUUAUCCAUGCUCCAUUGUGUGGACACAAUUUCUCUUCACAAACAUAAGGACAGGGUCCCCCAUGGCCAUUGGUAUAUAUGUAACAGUCUUCUUCUGUGUUGACUGGUUCUUCUUUGAAUUUUUUCUCAACUUAAUUGAAUGUAC